RNAcentral lists this ribosomal RNA (566 nucleotides) under uncultured bacterium. RNAcentral describes it as "bacterial SSU rRNA". It matches the Rfam family "Bacterial small subunit ribosomal RNA", at positions 337 to 917 of the family's 1533-position model. The record is from RNAcentral.
UCCUACGGGAGGCAGCAGUGGGGAAUUUUCCGCAAUGGGCGAAAGCCUGACGGAGCAAUACAGCGUGAGGGAAGACUGCCUAUGGGUUGUAAACCUCUUUUUUCAGGGAGGAAUAAAUGACGUGUACCUGAAGAAUAAGCAUCGGCUAACUCCGUGCCAGCAGCCGCGGUAAGACGGAGGAUGCAAGUGUUAUCCGGAAUCACUGGGCGUAAAGCGUCUGUAGGUGGUUUAAUAAGUCAACUGUUAAAUCUUGAGGCUCAACUUCAAAAUCGCAGUCGAAACUAUUAGACUAGAGUAUAGUAGAGGUAAAGGGAAUUUCCAGUGGAGCGGUGAAAUGCGUAGAUAUUAGAAGGAACAUCAGUGGCGAAGGCGACUCCCUGGCCAAAGACUGACGCUCAUGUGCGAAAGUGUGGGUAGCGAACAGGAUUAGAUACCCUGGUAGUCCACACCGUAAACGCUGUCUACUAGCUGUUUGUGAGUUUAACUCGUGAGUAGCGAAGCUAACGCGCUAAGUAGACCGCCUGGGGAGUACGGCCGCAAGGUUAAAACUCAAAUGAAUUGACGGA